AAUUCGGACUGCAGCAGUGUUCAGUUCCUGAACGUUGCAGCGGAAAGUUUAGUGAACCUUAUCACUUAGAGGAAGGAGAAGUCGUAACAAGGUUUCCGUAGGUGAACCUGCGGAAGGAUCAUUCGCACGCAUCCAAUUGAACCACUGUGCAUCUUGUCGUGAGGUUCUGAGUGGGGAGCAAUUACCAACUCAGAGACUCAAGGGCAACAGUGUGAGGUUAACUUUGCUAAUCUCAUUCCUGUUGUCGGGUUCUUCUUGAACUUCUACCUUGUGAUUCCAUGCUUUCUUGAGUGGCUAUCCACUCCAACUCUAUCUCACAACUUUCAGCGACGGAUGUCUCGGCUCGAACAACGAUGAAGGGCGCAGCGAAGUGUGAUAAACAUUGUGAAUUGCAGAAUUCCGUGAACCAAUAGGGAUUUGAACGUAUACUGCGCUUUCGGGAUAUCCCUGAAAGCAUGCCUGCUUCAGUGCCUCUACCUCUUAAUGCCUGCAGCUUCGCCCUUUUGGGUUAGCUGCAUGUGCGUAUUUGUGCGUCAAAUUGCGCUUUCAAGUGCGUUUGACGCAUUGAGCAUAUGGGGAACCUUUGCAUCAAUCAACUCAUUGAGUGUCUCUGAUACCAUCUGUUGCAUUGCUUGCCAAGGUAGCCUCAACAACCAAGCGCUGCUUAGUGUAGCCUCCUUCCAAGGCAUGAAGUUAGGUCAGCAAACCCGCUGAAUUUAAGCAUAUAAGUAAGCGGAGGACAAGAAACUAAAUAGGAUUCCCCUAGUAAUGGCGAAUGAACAGGGAACAGCUCAGAAUGGAAAUUGGGGUCUCCCGACCUUGAAUUGUAGUCUUGAGAGGUACUGCCAACGGAGGCGCAGAUGUAAGCCUCUUGGAAAAGAGCAUCAACGAGGGUGAGAGUCCCGUUUGUCAUCUGCAGUCCCCCGUGCACGGUGUACUUUCUAAGAGUCACGUUCCUCGGGAUUGGAGCGCAAAGUGGGUGGUAAAUUUCAUCUAAAGCUAAAUAUUGGUUCGAGACCGAUAGCAAACAAGUACCAUGAGGGAAAGGUGAAAAGGACUUUGAAAAGAGAGUUAAAAGUGCCUGAAAUUGCUGAAAGGGAAGCGAAUGGAACCAGUGUUCUUGAUGAGAUUGCUGCGUACUCUGGUGAUUGUUGGGUGUUCCACCGCAAGGGGGGCAUCUGGUUUUGAGCUAGAUGUGCGUGGUGUUUCUUGUCUUGUGUGUCACCGUCGGUGCUCAAGCGAGGAAAACUCUAGGGAACUGGUAGCUCGCCUCCGGGUGUGUGAAUGUCCUUGGUAGUACUCAUUUGUGUAUCGAUUUUUGCGUGUCUGGUUGCAGUGUUUGAGUCGCCAGGAUGUUUUUCUGAAGGGACUUGUCCUUGAUGAAAUCCGCCUUGGCGCCUUGAUCUCC
This 1408-nucleotide small RNA is filed under the name Azadinium dalianense. Its description in RNAcentral is "eukaryotic LSU rRNA". The stretch from base 684 to 1408 matches the Rfam family "Eukaryotic large subunit ribosomal RNA", at positions 1 to 610 of the family's 3401-position model. The record is from RNAcentral. Lineage: Eukaryota; Dinophyceae; Gonyaulacales; Amphidomataceae.